GUGGAGUUUCGGCUUCGGAGAGCGCUUCGAGCUGCUUCGUGCCGGAUUGAGGGCAAAUCUCCAGCGUGGGCGGCGAUAACGAGUCUUAUCUGCUGUCGGGGGCUCUGGAGAGAGAAGAAUAGGAAGGAUGUCACUCAGGGUCCGUUGAGAAAUGAAAAGAUGGGGACAAGAUAUUCGACUUCUUUUUAAAGAGAAGCAAGUCAGGCAACGGUAAGGUGGUCAAAGAGAGUGUGAGUGAAUUGUGUGUGUGUGUGUGUGAGCGGGUUACUAUGACGAUUAAACAAUUGUUGCAGGUGUGUUUGUGUGUACAUUGUGUUGUGAACAUUGUUAAUGAACUUUAAUUGAUGCACACAAACCUCAUCUUCUGUGUGCUUCGUAUGUACAUUGCAACAUUUAGAGACGCAAAUUGCAAUUCUUUGGUCGAGAAACAAAUUCAUUGUCAUAGUUUGUGGACCCCCUGAAUUAGCCUUGGCCACCCCAAGGAUGAAAGUCUAGCUCCGCCACUGGUGAAGUCAUCCGAAAGAGUUUUGCGAUUGCGACCACGGACGUUAAACGGAUGCGUGACGCUAAACUGAGCGACAUUUCCGCUUUUGUCAUCGGGUACGAGUUUGCGAGGGAUACCUGGCAGGCCGCGUAUGGGAUCGCUAAGCAAGCGUGUGCUAUCGCUAAUGAAAAGUGAUGGCAGGCAGGCGGCAGGAAUGAGGAGGAACUGUUUGGAAUUAAGCAUUCAUAGAAGAAAAGAGAGCAAGAGAGGGGGGGGGGGGGGAAAGCAGCGAAGAUGUCUUCGCGGGUCCUAAUCUUUUCGCUGGGAGCGGCGCGCAGUGGCUUAAGCUAGGUGUUUUGCGCUGACAGGUCCCCCACCUGGACAAGCUUGGACAAUGUCUGGGCCGUGUCUGGCUUCUUGCGGGAACAGUGGCUUAAUCAGGCGGGCCGAGCGACGGCGCCUGCCCUAUCUGCCUCUCCGUUUGCCGGGGAAAAUCUGGCAAAAGAGGCUAAAGCUCACUUUCAUGCUUGUCUUUCAUUCACGGACCGCACGAGCGCUUAUCGAAGACGACCCCCCCCCCCCCCCCCGCGCCAACCCCCCCUCAAACCGCCAUCUUCCCUCCUACAAGCAUUUUUUUUCUUUUUGGUGAGGAUGCUCGACGUAAGUACAGCCCAUCUGGCUAAAUAGGAAUCUCUCCUCGCUGUCACCGCUGCCACAUUAUGCCCCUGAGGGAACAUUCUCUUCAUAAUAUCAUAAGCUGCUUAGCGGUGUGCUUCUAUUUAAGGCAUACAUAUUAAUAGCUAUAAGCAAAUCAUAUUGGAAGUCUUCUGUGCUCUGUCUCGCUGCCUUUUGCUGCUGUUGUGCCGGCUGUAAGAAGGUGCUAAUAACUGCAAGGCCCCUCGCACGCCGGACCGUCUAAUCCCGAUAAGCGCUCCUCCAAGAUGCGGGGGAGGGGGGAUAGAUCACAAGACCCUGGGAAAAAAAAAAAAAGACCACGACUCCCCUUUCGCGUUCCUUCUUCGAAUUGUUGUAAUCCAUGUUCUGAGAAUUCCAGUUGAACUUCUUGUCGAAUGUGUGCAGCAAAUCGAGAACGUUGUACUCCACCUUGCUCCUUUGUAGUUGUUGUAUUUGCCAUUCUGAUUAUUAUUUGACAUUUCAGCUCACAAAUGGUAUUUGUUACAAAUUAGAAUAUGAAUUUUAUACAAUAUUUUUCUAUACUGUACUGAUGCACUGAUGCCAUUUUUUUUUUAACUUACAUUUGAAUACUUGCUGUUAAGAAGCAUGAGCAUGACUUUACAUCUUGCAAUUGUGAUGAAAAUGUAUCUUUAAUCAAAUAUUGUUCAGAAAAACUACUCAUACUUGAGUACAGUAGAGAUGCACAGUAUUAGCACUGGUAUCAGUGCAUCCUUUAUACACAGUAUAUAAAAAUACUAAAUAUAUUUGACAUAGUAUUUGUAUUGCUUUAGUAGAAGUAUGUUUUCUAUAUAUAGAUAUAUAAAUAUAAUUUAUUAUUUUGAUUUGUAGUUUAAUAUUUUUAUUUUAUGUAUUUAUUUGCUUACCAUAUUCAAUGUUUUUUUUAAAUAAAAAUGUUUCUUUUUUUACCAUUUUUUUU
Long non-coding RNA from Phyllopteryx taeniolatus (common seadragon), 2096 nucleotides. RefSeq lists it as uncharacterized. The record is from RefSeq and is a predicted model, not a curated record. The transcript is spliced from 2 exons. Lineage: Eukaryota; Metazoa; Chordata; Actinopteri; Syngnathiformes; Syngnathidae.